AGUCUGACGGAGCAACGCCGCGUGAGUGAUGAAGGCUUUCGGGUCGUAAAACUCUGUUGUUAGGGAAGAACAAGUACGAGAGUAACUGCUUGUACCUUGACGGUACCUAACCAGAAAGCCACGGCUAACUACGUGCCAGCAGCCGCGGUAAUACGUAGGUGGCAAGCGUUAUCCGGAAUUAUUGGGCGUAAAGCGCGCGCAGGCGGUUUCUUAAGUCUGAUGUGAAAGCCCACGGCUCAACCGUGGAGGGUCAUUGGAAACUGGGGAACUUGAGUGCAGAAGAGAAAAGCGGAAUUCCACGUGUAGCGGUGAAAUGCGUAGAGAUGUGGAGGAACACCAGUGGCGAAGGCGGCUUUUUGGUCUGUAACUGACGCUGAGGCGCGAAAGCGUGGGGAGCAAACAGGAUUAGAUACCCUGGUAGUCCACGCCGUAAACGAUGAGUGCUAAGUGUUAGAGGGUUUCCGCCCUUUAGUGCUGCAGCUAACGCAUAAGCA
This 494-nucleotide ribosomal RNA is filed under the name Priestia megaterium. RNAcentral's name for it is "bacterial SSU rRNA". It matches the Rfam family "Bacterial small subunit ribosomal RNA", at positions 380 to 866 of the family's 1533-position model. The record is from RNAcentral. Lineage: Bacteria; Bacillati; Bacillota; Bacilli; Caryophanales; Bacillaceae.